GAAAUGAGCGAGGGGUUCAAACAGUUUUUAUUGUUUCCAAACAUAAUUAAUACAUUUCAGGUAAAUCAGUCCAGUAACAAGAACCUGAGAAGCCGAGGGUAUCGCUUUGAAAAAUACAGUUUCGAGAAAAACGCAUUUAAAGUUUACUAGUCCGACCGCAGCAACUGUGAAAAUAAUUUGGAUUUUGAAAAAUCUUCUUCGUCUCCGACGUUUCCUUCUGAGUGUUACACACUUCGUGACAAACUUAAUGUGGGCCAUAAAUAUAUGUUCAUAUACACACAUACAUUCAUACAUAAAUAUUUAAUUUUGAAGAAUACUGCCAAUGUAGGUCUCCUUUCCAGGGAUGAAUUCGGAAACAUUCCGGUUGCGCAGACCUGACAGUCGACCGGAUGGAGAGCAUUACAACACCGGCGGCUGGAAAAACAUACAACAAACUUCUACUUGUUCUUCCCCAAGCGAUUUCGAAUGAAAACACGAAUGCUUUGUGA
Molecule: long non-coding RNA, 488 nt
Organism: Bactrocera neohumeralis
Lineage: Eukaryota; Metazoa; Arthropoda; Insecta; Diptera; Tephritidae
Exons: 3
Source: RefSeq, a predicted model, not a curated record